AGCGAACGCUGGCGGCAGGCUUAACACAUGCAAGUCGAGCGGGCACUUUCGGGUGUCAGCGGCGGACGGGUGAGUAACGCGUGGGAACGUGCCCUCUGGUUCGGAAUAACUCAGGGAAACUUGAGCUAAUACCGGAUACGCCCUUUUGGGGAAAGGCUUGCUGCCGGAGGAUCGGCCCGCGUCUGAUUAGCUAGUUGGUGAGGUAACGGCUCACCAAGGCGACGAUCAGUAGCUGGUCUGAGAGGAUGAUCAGCCACACUGGGACUGAGACACGGCCCAACCCCGUCGGGGGGGAAGCGGGGGGAAUUAUUGAACAAGGGGCGAGAGUUUGACCCCGCCAUGCCGCGUGAGUAUAAAGGCCCUUGGGGUUGAAAGACUUUUUUAUCCGGGAGAAAAAUGAGGGAGCGGGAGAAAAAGGCCCGGGCAAGCUUGGCC
RNAcentral lists this ribosomal RNA (435 nucleotides) under uncultured bacterium. RNAcentral's name for it is "partial 16S ribosomal RNA". It matches the Rfam family "Bacterial small subunit ribosomal RNA", at positions 30 to 509 of the family's 1533-position model. The record is from RNAcentral.